RNAcentral lists this transfer RNA (64 nucleotides) under Cressida cressida. Its description in RNAcentral is "tRNA-Thr". It matches the Rfam family "tRNA". Rfam says of the family: Transfer RNA (tRNA) molecules are approximately 80 nucleotides in length. Their secondary structure includes four short double-helical elements and three loops (D, anti-codon, and T loops). The record is from RNAcentral. Lineage: Eukaryota; Metazoa; Arthropoda; Insecta; Lepidoptera; Papilionidae.
GUUUUUAUAGUUUAAAUUUAAAACAUUGGUCUUGUAAAUCAAAAAUAAAAUAUUUUUAAAAACU